GGAAAAUGAACUUUGGGUGCGUUCUAUGGUGACUUUCUUUUUAUUCACUACCAUUAGAUGCGCCACGACUAAUUCAUCAUCAAUGGUGGUUAUCUACAAAGUUGGAUUUAUUUUGUUAAAGACAAUGUAAACAUAACUGCAAUAAGGGAGAAUGCAGGGUUUACAAUUCUGUUAAAAUUUCACUGAUGAAUUUCUUUUUCUUAUUUUUUGCUAUUUAAAAUAUCAAAGAACUUGCAUUUCCCCUUGAUAUCUAAAAAUGAGGAAUUCAAAAUUCGAAGCUAUUCUUUUCCUCAUAGUUCUAACAAUCAAAAUAUUAAAAAUGAAAAGCUCAACUUUUUAAA
RNAcentral lists this unclassified non-coding RNA (341 nucleotides) under Hevea brasiliensis (rubber tree). Lineage: Eukaryota; Viridiplantae; Streptophyta; Magnoliopsida; Malpighiales; Euphorbiaceae. The record is from RNAcentral.